Molecule: long non-coding RNA, 8029 nt
Filed under: Oryza sativa (Asian cultivated rice)
Lineage: Eukaryota; Viridiplantae; Streptophyta; Magnoliopsida; Poales; Poaceae
Description: long non-coding RNA (OSAT_LNC001366)
Source: RNAcentral
GCUGCCAGCCAUGGUGGCGAACGGAUCCUCCUCCUCCUCCUCCGGCGUCGAUGUCCUCGUCGGCGAGCGGCCCGACCAGAUCUCCACGUCGGCCUUCUGCGGCGCCAACUCGUCGGCGGCGCCGGAGUACUCCGACUGCGGCGCCUGUGUCGAAACAUGAUUUCGGCAAUAAUAAAAGGGGGUAGCGCACGAGACCUAAAAGUGGAUGGAUGCGGAGACAAAGGAUUUAGACAGGUUCAGGCCCUCUCAAUGAGAGGUAAUACCCUACUCCUGUUUGGGGGUUUGAAUCCGCCGGGUGUGUAUUGAUCUGACGAUCAGGUUAUGUCAUAUCUGCCCCCUAGAGGGCCUCCUGCCCACCUUAUAUAGGAUGGGGGGCAGGAUUACAAGAUAGAAACCUUAACCAAUACGGUAUCGGUUUCCUAAAUCAGGACUUUAGGCCGUUCCGUAAUAUACAAGGAAACGUAACACCCAAGUCAUGAUCUGUUACAUAUUACAUAGAUAUAAGUUAUCCCCUAUAACUAGUCGGAUAACCAUGCCCUGUGGGUAUGGGGUACCCAUAAUAUCCACAGUAGCCCCUGAGACCUUCGCAGUCGAAAAGAUAAUCUUCUCUCGAACCAGAUUACUCCAAAGCCGAGUGCUUCAAUCAUCUUUGUCAUGGUCUCCCGAGUACUUUUACCAAAUCUGAAGACUGUGGAGGGCUGAAAAAUAAAGUCAGGUGCAUCGAAUAGAUGCACCUAAUAGGUGUAGCCCCCCGACAAUGUGGUUAAUUGAACAAACCAAGCAUAUAGUCAAGGAAUAAAUAAUCCAACCAACCAAGUGGUUUUGAUAAUCGUAAUCAACCAAGUGACUUGAUAUCAAUAUAUAGUAUAUGCGGUGUGAAUCCUCCAAAUAACAUGAUCCGAGUGAUAUACCAAAAUAGCUAUAAAAAAGCUCGUAUAUUGUGAAUAAAGAAAUUUCCAAAGUAUUGGGCAUACGCCAUGCGCACACUGCUUUAACAGAUGUGCUUAAGUCCCUAGAAGACACAUGGUUUCACCACACCUGGAAAUAUAUGGCAUAUGUGGUGUAAAAUCCGAGUAAAUAAACUCAUAAAGGAUUUACCAACCGCCUAGAAAAAUGACCAUAAUAUAUAAUCAGCCUAAGCCAUAAUAUUGGUCAAUAAAAAUGCACACUUACGUGGCAAAAAGCAAUGAUAUUAUAUCCAAUCAAUUGCUUGAUAAACCCAAACAGCACCUUGACUAUAUAAAAAAGUCAGCGGGGCAGCUAUGUAAAGCUUUACUGUUUGACACAUUUUAAGAUGCAUCGUACCAACUCCUAAAAAGUCGAGUAACUGCGGUAUAAAAGGAUUUUAAGGUAUUGGGCACUUGAUCACGCGCACUUUGGCCUAAGCGAAAAGUGCCUAAGUCCCUAAAAGAACGUGACAGGCCACACCUGAAAAUAUGGGCUGCAGACAUAUUAGGCCUAGGCCAAAACAUAUGCCUUCGACACCCUUUAAAGGAUGACGCAUAUAACAUGCUCCCGAGUAAUAAAUCUUCCGGGUAAUAUAGAUCAAGCGUAGCUCAUAUGAAUAGCUUCUGAUCUAAAUGAUUAUCCCUUAUGGGAUACUCCAAAAUAAAUAUAAUAAUUGAAUCCCGACUGGCGCAAGUAUUCGGUUGAUAGCCCUUACGGGGAAUAAUAAUUGGUCCAGUCUUUGAGCAUAGAAAAUAGACUCAUGACUAUGAAUCCAUGUGGAAUGUAUCCGGAACAAGUCCAAAUUGGAGAUAUAAUCCUCACGCUUGAGUUGAUGAGCCCCUGAGCAUAUAGCUUGUCCUUCUGUCAUAGUCAAAAUUGUUUAUUGGCAAUAGCUGACGCAGUCGGCAUGGAGAUGAAAUGACCAACAUGAAGACGAAAUUGCUCAUCAAAAGUAACGGAAGAUGUCAUUGGUAGUAAAAAACAGUGACACCAAUCAAAGAUAAUGAAGUUGCACAGCCGUGGAGGCGAAGAAACCAAUCGGCAGCAGACAAGUCAGCCAACAGUGAAGAUGAAGGCAUCCAGCAACAUCGACAAAAUUGAGCGGCCAUGGUGGCGAAAUAAUCAGUCGGUGACAGAUGAGGCAGCCGGUGAAGAAGAUGAAGAUGCCCAUUAGUGGCGACAUAAUAAGCCAUCCGUGAAGGCGAGGAUACCAGUCGGUGGUGACGAAAGCAAGCCGACGGUGAAGAUGUAGACACGUAUCAAAGGCAAUAACGAAAUCCACCAAUCAUGAAAAUGAAGAAAAUAGUCGACGACGACAAAGGCAACCGUCAGUAGCAACAGAGAUGAUCGACUAUGAUGACGAAAUUGCUCAUCAAACAGUAGUAGAGUGGGCAAUGUUGAAGAGGCUUGACAGUAUGUUGAUGAAGAUGACGAUGUUGGUGAUCCAGCCAAUAGCAGUGUAGCAACCAAUGAUAAUGACAAAGACGCUCAUCAGCAUUUGCAUAGUAGGUCAACCAUGAAGGUGAAAUAAUAAGUCGGCGAAAACAUAAUCAUCCAUUAGCAACAGCGGAGAUGUCAGGGCCGAUGAAGCAGAGGUGCUGGUGAUGAUGUCAGUGACAAUAAUCCAUCAAAUUAAUGUUAUAGCUGUUGUAGAUGCUUCACUUGGAGGAGAGUUGGUGUUGUUGUCCAACUCGUCCAAACCGAAAUAUUUGAAGUUGUUGAAGUAGAAUGUCUGCUCCGAAGCAAAGAUGAAGAUAAUGACUCCUGGAGUUGACUCGUUGGUUGAUGAAUUGAUUUCUUCAGCUUGACAUAAAAUUUGUCAAAUUUUGAGCCUUAUAUUUGUGUAGCCCCUGACUCUUUGAUUAGUUGGGAAACAACUGAACAUAGAGUCGAGAACUGUAGCUUCUUGUCGUCGAAUAGUCAUUGCUUGAUUGAAGAUAUGUGUUGAAGAUGUCCAAGUAGAAAUCCUGAAUAUUGGAGAGCCACUUGUUGUAGUAAAAUAACAUGGCAUUGCAUGCCGAGAUGUCGAGGUUCACAAAGACGUCGUGGUUGGUGAAGUAGUAAAACUUGCGAAGUAGCAACAAUAGAGUUUGCCGGUGCCGAAGAUAAUAAAGAUGAAGUCGCUCCACCAUGAUGACAAAGUUGUAUUGCCGUAAUGAAGUGAACACAAGUCGGCGGCAACAGAAGCAAACCGGUAGUGAAGACGCGCAGUUGUGAAGAUAAAAGCACAAGUCGGCGGCGGCAUAAUCAGUCGGCGACGGAAGAUGAUGAUGUCCAUCAGUAGUGGUAGCUGUAUAAACCAGACGUAGAGGUAAGGGCACUAAUCAGCAACAGACGAGACGACCGGCGAUUAAGAUGUAGAUGCCCAACAACGGCGGCAUAAUAGGCCAGCCGUGCAGACGGAAACACCAGUCGGCGGCGAUGGAGGCAGGCCGGUGGUGGAGUCGUAGACGCCCAACAACGACGGCAUAAUAGGCCAGCCGUGCAGACGGAAACACCAGUCGGCGGCGAUGGAGGCAGGCCGGUGGUGGAGUCGUAGACGCCCAACAACGACGGCAUAAUAGGCCAGCCGUGCAGACGGAAACACCAGUCGGCGGCGAUGGAGGCAGGCCGGUGGUGGAGUCGUAGACGCCCAACAACGACGGCAUAAUAGGCCAGCCGUGCAGACGGAAACACCAGUCGGCGGCGAUGGAGGCAGGCCGGUCGGUGAAGACGUAGACGCCCAUCAACGGUGGCAUAAUAGGCCAGCCGUGCAGGCGGAAACACCAGUCGGCGGCGGACGAGGCGGCCGGUCGGUGAAGAUGUAGACGCCCAACAACGGCGGCAUAAUAGGCCAGCCGUGCAGGCGGAAACACCAGUCGGCGGCGGUCGAGGCGGCCGGUCGGUGAAGACGUAGACGGUCAACAACGGCGGCAUAAUAAGCCAGCCGUGCAGGCGGUGACACCAGUCGGCGGCGGACGAGGCGGCCGGUCGGUGAAGACGUAGACGCCCAACAACGGUGGCAUAAUAGGCCAGCCGUGCAGGCGGAAACACCAGUCGGCGGCGGCGAAGGCAAGCCGGUCGGUAAAGACGUAGACGCCCAACAACGGUGGCAUAAUAGGCCAGCCGUGCAGGCGGAAACACCAGUCGGCGGCGGCGAAGGCAAGCCGGUCGGUGAAGACGUAGACGUCCAACAACGGCGGCAUAAUAGGCCAGCUGUGCAGGCGGAAACACCAGUCGGCGGCGGCGAAGGCAAGCCGGUCGGUGAAGACGUAGACGCCCAACAACGGCGGCAUAAUAGGCCAGCCGUGCAGGCGGUGACACCAGUCGGCGGCGGACGAGGCGGCCGGUCGGUGAAGACGUAGACGCCCAACAACGGCGGCAUAAUAGGCCAGCCGUGCAGGCGGAAGCACCAGUCGGCGGCGGACGAGGCGGCCGGUCGGUGAAGACGUAGACGCCCAACAACGGCGGCAUAAAGGCCAGCCGUGCAGGCGGAAACACCAGUCGGCGGCGGCGAAGGCAAGCCGGUCGGUGAAGACGUAGACGCCCAACAACGGCGGCAUAAUAGGCCAGCCGUGCAGGCGGAAGCACCAGUCGGCGGCGGACGAGGCGGCCGGUCGGUGAAGACGUAGACGCCCAACAACGGCGGCAUAAUAGGCCAGCCGUGCAGGCGGAAGCACCAGUCGGCGGCGGACGAGGCGGCCGGUCGGUGAAGACGUAGACGCCCAACAACGGCGGCAUAAAGGCCAGCCGUGCAGGCGGAAACACCAGUCGGCGGCGGCGAAGGCAAGCCGGUCGGUGAAGACGUAGACGCCCAACAACGGCGGCAUAAUAGGCCAACCGUGCAGGCGAAAACACCAGUCGGCGGCGGACGAGGCGGCCGGUGGUGAUGUUCUGACUGAUCCAUUCCUAGAGCGUAAGAGAUAAGCUUAAAGCCAUGAAUCCCUUUUAUGCAUAUCUGGAUCUGGAUCCUGCAGAACAAACAUAUAGGAUGAGUAGUAUCUGAUAUAAAUAUAAUACUCGAGAAAAAAUCAAGUAUUUUAAAAUAUUUAUAAAUAUGUAUUUCUCCUCUUGUCAAUUUUGAUUUCCCCGAGCAGAUGACUCAUUACGUUUAAACGCUCUGCCCAACUAGUCAUAGCCACCAAGCACUGGGAGUCGGCCUAAGCACUUCCCAAACAUGCAUAUGAGUGACAUGAGUUCGUCAUUAAUGGAACAAAGUUUCACGGAUCGGAGUUUACUACUCGGGUACUUUUGCAAUUAUUAAGAGCAGAAAAUAAAUUUAUCUCAUCUCUAUGCUUUUGAUUUAUUCCGAAUAAUACUUAGCACCUUGCGUUACUCGGUCCAUCCAACGAGCCCCCGGGUGCUAGGAAUCGGCCCAAAGGCAACCAUCCAUUGGCAAACCAAACGGAAAGCAUAGGAAGAUAGAACUCCAUAACUCGAUAGGUACUUUUGUACUCAGAUUAUGUCGCAAGCAAUCAAGAUAAAUAUUAUAAAAAAUAUGAUAUAACAUCUGUAGCCCCCGACUCACUACUCAAUGGAAGACCAAUUGGUGUAGUGAGGCAGAGGAAAAGGAAAAAUAUCAUAUAAAGAAUAAAAUAAAUGAUGACUUAGCUUUGUAAUAUUCCCCUUGGUGAUGGCAGAAGUGGCCAAUGUGGGAACAAAGUCGUCCAUCAAUAACAAUGAAGACACCAGUCGGCGGCGACGAAGGCGGUCGACGGUGAAAGCGAAGACGCCCAACAGCGGCGGCAUAAUAGGCCAGCCGUGUAGGCGGAGGCACCAGUCGGCGGCGAUGGAGGCAGGCCGGCGGUGAAGAUGACGAUGCCCAUCAACGGUGGUGUGACCAACCGACCGUAUAGGCGGGGACACCAGUCGGCGGCGACGGAGGCAGGCCGGUGGUGAAGUCGUAGACGCCCAACAGCGGCGGCAUAAUAGGCCAGCCGUGUAGGCGGAGGCACCAGUCGGCGGCGACGGAGGCAGGCCGGCGGUGAAGUCGUAGACGCCCAACAGCGGCGGCAUAAUAGGCCAGCCGUGUAGGCGGAGGCACCAAUCGGCGGCGACGGAGGCAAGCCGGCGGUGAAGUCGUAGACGCCCAACAGCGGCGGCAUAAUAGGCCAGCCGUGUAGGCGGAGGCACCAAUCGGCGGCGACGGAGGCAGGCCGGCGGUGAAGUCGUAGACGCCCAACAGCGGCGGCAUAAUAGGCCAGCCGUGUAGGCGGAGGCACCAAUCGGCGGCGACGGAGGCAAGCCGGCGGUGAAGUCGUAGACGCCCAACAGCGGCGGCAUAAUAGGCCAGCCGUGUAGGCGGAGGCAUGGACGCCCAUGAACGGUGGUGUGACCAACCAACCGUAUAGGCGAGGACACCAGUCGGCGGCGACGGAGGCAGGCCGGCGGUGAAAGCGUAGACGCCCAACAGCAGCAGCAUAAUAGGCUAGCCGUGUAGGCGGAGGCACCACUCGGCGGCGACGGAGGUAGGCCGGCGGUGAAGUCGUAGACGCCCAACAGCGGCGGCAUAAUAGGCCAGCCGUGUAGGCGGAGGCACCAAUCGGCGGCGACGGAGGCAAGCCGGCGGUGAAGUCGUAGACGCCCAACAGCGGCGGCAUAAUAGGCCAGCCGUGUAGGCGGAGGCACCAAUCGGCGGCGACGGAGGCAAGCCGGCGGUGAAGUCGUAGACGCCCAACAGCGGCGGCAUAAUAGGCCAGCCGUGUAGGCGGAGGCAUGGACGCCCAUGAACGGUGGUGUGACCAACCAACCGUAUAGGCGAGGACACCAGUCGGCGGCGACGGAGGCAGGCCGGCGGUGAAAGCGUAGACGCCCAACAGCAGCAGCAUAAUAGGCUAGCCGUGUAGGCGGAGGCACCACUCGGCGGCGACGGAGGUAGGCCGGCGGUGAAGUCGUAGACGCCCAACAGCGGCGGCAUAAUAGGCCAGCCGUGUAGGCGGAGGCACCAAUCGGCGGCGACGGAGGCAAGCCGGCGGUGAAGUCGUAGACGCCCAACAGCGGCGGCAUAAUAGGCCAGCCGUGUAGGCGGAGGCACCAAUCGGCGGCGACGGAGGCAGGCCGGCGGUGAAGUCGUAGACGCCCAACAGCGGCGGCAUAAUAGGCCAGCCGUGUAGGCGGAGGCACCAAUCGGCGGCGACGGAGGCAGGCCGGCGGUGAAGUCGUUGUUGUUAUCAGCAAUGGCGGUGGCGAAGACAAGCCGGCAGAGUGGACUCGCGGCCGAUCGACCGGAAAGCUGAGACGCCUCGAGUCUAUGACCAGCAUCAAUCGCCUCAAUAGUGCCGCGUAAUUAUAUGCGAACAACAACAAAAAAUAGCAAGAGAUUAAUCUGGGAUUAAAAAUCAGUACGAUAAAUAAUGAUAAAAAUCAGAUUGAGUUUCCCCCUGACUGAUUUGGAUCAAGUCAGAGAAGAGGAGCUUGAAGAAGUGGUCGACGGAAAGGAAGUGAAAACUCCCAAAGCGAAAACGAAGUCGGCGACUCAUGAAAUUGAUUCCAUCGCGCUUGUUGAUAGGAAACUCGACGCAACCCCUACCUGGCGCGCCAACUGUCGAAACAUGAUUUCGGCAAUAAUAAAAGGGGUAGCGCACGAGACCUAAAAGUGGAUGGAUGCGGAGACAAAGGAUUUAGACAGGUUCAGGCCCUCUCAAUGAGAGGUAAUACCCUACUCCUGUUUGGGGGUUUGAAUCCGCCGGGUGUGUAUUGAUCUGACGAUCAGGUUAUGUCAUAUCUGCCCCCUAGAGGGCCUCCUGCCCACCUUAUAUAGGAUGGGGGGCAGGAUUACAAGAUAGAAACCUUAACCAAUACGGUAUCGGUUUCCUAAAUCAGGACUUUAGGCCGUUCCGUAAUAUACAAGGAAACGUAACACCCAAGUCAUGAUCUGUUACAUAUUACAUAGAUAUAAGUUAUCCCCUAUAACUAGUCGGAUAACCAUGCCCUGUGGGUAUGGGGUACCCAUAAUAUCCACAGCCUGCGUCGCCAAGGCGCUCCGGUACGCGCGGCGGCUGUGCGGGUAUAGCAGGCGCGCCAUGGUCGACCUCGGCGCCUGCCGCGUCAGCUACCACGACGUCGGACGCGUGGAGCUGGAGAUACAAGCUUCAUUAGCCGU